GACGAACGCUGGCGGCGUGCUUAACACAUGCAAGUCGAACGGAAAGGCCCUGCUUGCAGGGUGCUCGAGUGGCGAACGGGUGAGUAACACGUGGGUGAUCUGCCCCUUACUUUGGGAUAAGCCUGGGAAACUGGGUCUAAUACUGGAUAGGACCAUGCUGUAGGUGGUGUGGUGGAAAGAUUAGUUUCGGUAAGGGAUGAGCUCGCGGCCUAUCAGCUUGUUGGUGGGGUAAUGGCCUACCAAGGCGUCGACGGGUAGCCGGCCUGAGAGGGUGGACGGCCACAUUGGGACUGAGAUACGGCCCAGACUCCUACGGGAGGCAGCAGUGGGGAAUAUUGCGCAAUAGGCGCAAGCCUGAUGCAGCGACGCCGCGUGGGGGAUGACGGCCUUCGGGUUGUAAACUCCUUUCAGCCAUGACGAAGCCCUUGUGGUGACGGUAGUGGUAGAAGAAGCACCGGCUAACUACGUG
RNAcentral lists this ribosomal RNA (469 nucleotides) under uncultured bacterium. RNAcentral describes it as "partial 16S ribosomal RNA". It matches the Rfam family "Bacterial small subunit ribosomal RNA", at positions 28 to 507 of the family's 1533-position model. The record is from RNAcentral.